This 918-nucleotide ribosomal RNA is filed under the name Fusarium sp. Its description in RNAcentral is "partial large subunit ribosomal RNA". It matches the Rfam family "Eukaryotic large subunit ribosomal RNA", at positions 34 to 967 of the family's 3401-position model. The record is from RNAcentral. Lineage: Eukaryota; Fungi; Ascomycota; Sordariomycetes; Hypocreales; Nectriaceae.
CUAGCAUAUCAAUAAGCGGAGGAAAAGAAACCAACCCGGGAUUGCUCAGUAACGGCGAGUGAAGCGGCAAGAGCUCAAAUUUGAAAGCUGGCUCAUUCGGAGUCCGCAUUGUAAUUUGCAGAGGAUGCUUUGGGUGCGGCCCCCGUCUAAGUGCCCUGGAACGGGCCGUCAGAGAGGGUGAGAAUCCCGUCUUGGGCGGGGUGUCCGUGCCCGUGUAAAGCUCCUUCGACGAGUCGAGUUGUUUGGGAAUGCAGCUCUAAAUGGGUGGUAAAUUUCAUCUAAAGCUAAAUACUGGCCGGAGACCGAUAGCGCACAAGUAGAGUGAUCGAAAGAUGAAAAGCACUUUGAAAAGAGAGUUAAACAGCACGUGAAAUUGUUGAAAGGGAAGCGCUUGCGACCAGACUCGCCCGCGGGGUUCAGCCGGCAUUCGUGCCGGUGUACUUCCCCGUGGGCGGGCCAGCGUCGGUUUGGGCGGCCGGUCAAAGGCCCCUGGAAUGUAGUGCCCUCCGGGGCACCUUAUAGCCAGGGGUGCAAUGCGGCCAGCCUGGACCGAGGAACGCGCUUCGGCACGGACGCUGGCAUAAUGGUCGUAAACGACCCGUCUUGAAACACGGACCAAGGAGUCUAACAUCUACGCGAGUGUUCGGGUGUCAAACCCGUGCGCGCAGUGAAAGCGAACGGAGGUGGGAGCCCCCUUGCGGGGCGCACCAUCGACCGAUCCUGAUGUCUUCGGAUGGAUUUGAGUAAGAGCGUAGCUGUGGGGACCCGAAAGAUGGUGAACUAUGCCUGAAUAGGGCGAAGCCAGAGGAAACUCUGGUGGAGGCUCGCAGCGGUUCUGACGUGCAAAUCGAUCGUCAAAUUUGGGUAUAGGGGGCGAAAGACUAAUCGAACCAUCUAGUAGCUGGUUCCUGCCGAUCU